Molecule: small nuclear RNA, 165 nt
Filed under: Bos indicus x Bos taurus (hybrid cattle)
Lineage: Eukaryota; Metazoa; Chordata; Mammalia; Artiodactyla; Bovidae
Description: U1 spliceosomal RNA (ENSBIXG00005027100.1)
Rfam family: U1 spliceosomal RNA
About the family: U1 is a small nuclear RNA (snRNA) component of the spliceosome (involved in pre-mRNA splicing). Its 5' end forms complementary base pairs with the 5' splice junction, thus defining the 5' donor site of an intron. There are significant differences in sequence and secondary structure between metazoan and yeast U1 snRNAs, the latter being much longer (568 nucleotides as compared to 164 nucleotides in human).
Source: RNAcentral
AUACUUAUCUGACAGAGGAGAUACCAUUGUCACGAAGGUGGUUUUCCCUAGGGCAAGAUUUAUCCAUUGCACUCCGGAUGUGCUGACCCCUGCGAUUUCCCCAAAUGUGAGAAACUCGACUGUAUAACUUGUGGUAGUUGGGGACUACGUUCGUGCUUUCCUCUG